Long non-coding RNA from Eptesicus fuscus (big brown bat), 368 nucleotides. RefSeq lists it as uncharacterized. The transcript is spliced from 3 exons. The record is from RefSeq and is a predicted model, not a curated record. NCBI's taxonomy places the organism in Eukaryota, Metazoa, Chordata, Mammalia, Chiroptera, Vespertilionidae.
GUUUCAAGAUGUGAAAUGUUCCCUUAAGUCAUUUAUGGUUCCUUUGGAUUCCCAAUUAUGAGGUGUGUGAAGGCAGAGAUAGCUCUAUUCUGCAGGAGGUUAAACCAAGAUGAGAGACGAAAAGUGACUCAUCAAAAGUCCAACAUUUACUCAGAGGUUAAGCCCGGGAGAUUCUAAUUGCCCAUCAAAGACUGUGUCUGUUAAGUUAUGUGAAGCUUUAGCACAGUGCAUGGUGAGGAGAGGAAUCUCAAAUUCUGAGAGAAACCAGAACUUCUAGCCGGAGGACCAGGGAAGGUGGCAGAGGCUCAGGAGAAGAGGCAUCUAUGGUGAGCUGGGCCUGCAGGGAGCACACCCUGGACUCCAGCGCA